UGAAUACCUCCUCCUUCCCAAUUCCCAUGGUAGAGGCUACAAAGGGAUUCCGGUCUUACUUGGAGUCACACAAUUACAAAUGUUGGGUAAAAUGCUAAUAAGGUUUCCCUUUACUUUUCCCUUAUUUUAGAUAUUCAUCCAUAUAUUCUGAUCCAAAAAUCUAACAUCAACUCUUGUAUCUUGCUCUGCAGCUUGUAAAAUCCACAUAAAAUGUGUCACUUCCCCUGCUAUUGUGGUGUCUUUAUUAUUGGAAUAGGUUGUCUCGGAAGGUAAAAUCUGAUUCUAUUAUUAUAACUUUAAAUUUAUUUGCAAGUUCAUGAUAUUAUUCUUUGUUUUCCCCCCCUAAAACAAUAGAGAUAGUAACCAACGAAUUCAUGAUAUAUUCGCUACUACAAAAUAAAUAAUAGAUUAAUAGGACCCAUUAUAUAUAAUCCCGGUUUUAAGGAAAUCUGGGUUCUAUUUAAUAUAAACCUAAUCCUAUUUGAUAUUUUCUUUAUAAGACACGUUUUUAUAAGUCAAUAGGGCUCUAUGCUGUCCUAAAUUCAUAAAUUUUCAUUUCCUUUGAAUUUUUGAUUUCAUUGCUGCUCCGUAAUCGCUCAAAAUUUCAUUCCCGCUCUACCAAAAUUUUCAUGACUCUUUCGAGGAUAAAGAAAAAGAUACCUUGUAACUUGACAUCAAUUUUGCCAGAAAGGUUUAGUUAGUAUUCUUUUUUUGCUGAUGUAUUGUUCAGUUUAGUUUAACACUUCAUUUACCGAAUUUAAAUGUUACAUAUUUUGGUUAGUCAUCAUAAUGUCCUCCAGUUAAAGAUUUUGGUAUUUAAAUUGUUUAUUUGUGUACCUGGAGGUUGAUUUGAGACGAUGAUCUAGAGUUAUUAUGAUGUAUAAUACAACAUUAACCCCCUAUGGCGACAACAUUUUCUGACCCUGUACCAAUGACAUGUCGUCGUCAUAGGGUAUACCGACAACCAAGGUUGUUACUGAGUCGCCGGCAUAGGUCAAAAAGGGUGUCAGCAUAGGUGUCGUCGACAUAGGUUCCUACUUCUCUGACGACAUGUCGUCGGUACAGGUUUCGUCGAUGAUAAUUUCGAAAAAAAAAAGUUUUAUUUAAUUACCAGUGACGACGAUAUGUCGUCGGGAUAAUUUAGCGACGAUAUGUCGUCGGGAUAUGUACAAGCUAUCACGACGACAUGUUGUCAUUACAGGUUUUUCACAGUUGUCGAUUAAAUACCUAUAUCGACGACUUGUCGUCGGGAGAGGCACUGAUUUUUUUUUUUUACUGAUUCUGUUCUUUGUCAUUCCUAUAUUUUUAACAAAUCCAAACACUUUGCAGCAUAAUCAAUUAAGAUACAAUAACUAGCUAUCAUUGUUCAAAUUGAAAACAUCAAAUUCAAGUUUAAUAUUAAGUACUUAACAUUGUUCAAAAUAAUACAAAACAUCAACCAUCAUUAUCUUCUUCUUCUUCUUCUUCUUCUCCUUCUUCUUCCAUCCUCUUGGGCUCGCUUGAGAGGUACUUCCUUGUGUGUUAGAGUUGAAUAGAAAGUUAGGAAAUGGUGGUGGUUGGAAGUUAGGAAUACAUGCCCCCAAUGAUGCAUUAUUAUGUUGCAAGUAUUCUUGCAUUUGUUGUGCAUCAAAUUGGGAUUGAGAUUAUGAAGAUUUGGAAGUGGAAGGCCGUUCAUUUGGAAUUAAACUGAAGUUGACGGUUGGUCUCCUACCCACUCCGCGAGCAUGCCUGCGUCUCAUCCCAAGGGCACAUUCUAGACAUUCUUCCUCAUUUACUUCUCUGCCUUCCCCGACCUCGCUUUGCAUUUUCUCAUAUUCGUCUUGAAUUUUCUCCUAAAAUAAAGAAAACAAUAAAAAUACGAUAAUUAAAACAAAUAACUAAAUUUAAUCAUUAAAAUAAUAAUAAUAAUAAUAAUAAUAUAUUUUACACAAAAAAACUAUAAUUAAUAAUAAUAACAUAUUUAAAAAAAACGCAUUCAUUUCGUUUAUUACUUACCCAAUCUUGUUGUGUUUGACUUGUACACCAACCCGAACCUUCUUUCUAGCGCAUUUGUCUCCAACCCUCAAUAUGUUGUGGCUUCAUUCCCAUUUGUUCCUAUAAUANAUAUAUAUAUACUAAUACAUUUUGUUACCUCUAAAUAACGUCGUUGAGUGAUAUAAUACAAUAAAUUUCUUAUAAUUAUCAUGGCUUUCUCUUUUAUUAUAAAACAACUUGUAUUUAUUAUUACUACACAGAUAUAGGACUCAUACUUGGAGAAAUAUAUCCGAGAAUGGAAAGAGAAAUCUUAACAGUAGUGUUAAUGGUUCAAUCUUAAUAGAUAUAGGUGGAUCAAUUACAACAGAACAACACCGCAAGAAGAUGGUAAAUGAAUCUUGUGUAUAAAUUUUAGUAAUUUGUUUUUUGUUUAGCAUAAAUUACAAGUAUGUUUUUUUUUUGUAGAAGAAUGGAAAGGAGGAAUACCCUUUGUGGGGAGAUGUUUUCAAGCAGACUCACCUUGAAAAGAGUGCAACGGUGAAGUUGGCAUCUGGAGAGUUGAUUGGGAGCCAACCUGAGCAUUGGGUUAAUGAGAAUUUUUGGACCGUAUUUGUAAGUUAUCUUUAUCCUUUUUAGAUUUAAGAUUUGAUGUAUUUAAUUAUUUUCCAUGUGUUUAGAGUGGUAACAAUUUUAAUGUUUUGGUAAAUUGGAGGACAAAUAUGAGAAGACAAUGUGUGAGAAAUAUGGCCCCAACCCUAGUCAGCAUCCGUUGGGAGAUGUUGAAAUAUGGGAGCAUUGUGUUGGCGGGAAAAAGAAGGGGCGAGUUUACGGGGUAGGAUCUGAGUUUAAGGGGUAGGAUCAUCAGAUCCGGGCAACGUCGUGUCGGGGACACCUUACAAGUAGUCCUGACAAUUUGAUACAAGACACGAUUAAAACGAAACGAACACGAUACAACUUUUCCGUGUAUGUGUUUUAGAAAUUCAUGUUUCGUGUUUAUUUGUAUCUAACAUAUAUUUUAAAUCCGUGUUUCGUGUCUUAUACAUGUCAAACACGAUUUAACCAGUUUAAACACGUAUAAGACAUGAUACAAAUUCGUUUUGACACGUGACGCAUAUAAACACAUAUAUAUUUU
This 3106-nucleotide long non-coding RNA is filed under the name Lactuca sativa (garden lettuce). RNAcentral describes it as "long non-coding RNA (LSAT_LNC001697)". The record is from RNAcentral. Lineage: Eukaryota; Viridiplantae; Streptophyta; Magnoliopsida; Asterales; Asteraceae.